GAUGAACGCUGGCGGCGUGCCUAAUACAUGCAAGUCGAGCGAACAGACGAGGAGCUUGCUCCUCUGACGUUAGCGGCGGACGGGUGAGUAACACGUGGAUAACCUACCUAUAAGACUGGGAUAACUUCGGGAAACCGGAGCUAAUACCGGAUAAUAUAUUGAACCGCACGGUUCAAUAGUGAAAGACGGUUUUGCUGUCACUUAUAGAUGGAUCCGCGCCGCAUUAGCUAGUUGGUAAGGUAACGGCUUACCAAGGCAACGAUGCGUAGCCGACCUGAGAGGGUGAUCGGCCACACUGGAACUGAGACACGGUCCAGACUCCUACGGGAGGCAGCAGUAGGGAAUCUUCCGCAAUGGGCGAAAGCCUGACGGAGCAACGCCGCGUGAGUGAUGAAGGUCUUCGGGUCGUAAAACUCUGUUAUUAGGGAAGAACAAAUGUGUAAGUAACUAUGCACGUCUUGACGGUACCUAAUCAGAAAGCCACGGCUAACUACGUG
This 497-nucleotide ribosomal RNA is filed under the name uncultured bacterium. RNAcentral's name for it is "partial 16S ribosomal RNA". It matches the Rfam family "Bacterial small subunit ribosomal RNA", at positions 28 to 507 of the family's 1533-position model. The record is from RNAcentral.